RNAcentral lists this ribosomal RNA (554 nucleotides) under uncultured bacterium. RNAcentral's name for it is "bacterial SSU rRNA". It matches the Rfam family "Bacterial small subunit ribosomal RNA", at positions 373 to 916 of the family's 1533-position model. The record is from RNAcentral.
GGGGNGGAGGCCUUGAUCCAGCAAUGCCGCGUGAGUGAAGAAGGCCUUCGGGUUGUAAAGCUCUUUUGUCAGGGAAGAAACGGUGAGGGCUAAUAUCCCUUGCUAAUGACGGUACCUGAAGAAUAAGCACCGGCUAACUACGUGCCAGCAGCCGCGGUAAUACGUAGGGUGCAAGCGUUAAUCGGAAUUACUGGGCGUAAAGCGUGCGCAGGCGGUUUUGUAAGUCUGAUGUGAAAUCCCCGGGCUCAACCUGGGAAUUGCAUUGGAGACUGCAAGGCUAGAAUCUGGCAGAGGGGGGUAGAAUUCCACGUGUAGCAGUGAAAUGCGUAGAUAUGUGGAGGAACACCGAUGGCGAAGGCAGCCCCCUGGGUCAAGAUUGACGCUCAUGCACGAAAGCGUGGGGAGCAAACAGGAUUAGAUACCCUGGUAGUCCACGCCCUAAACGAUGUCUACUAGUUGUCGGGUCUUAAUUGACUUGGUAACGCAGCUAACGCGUGAAGUAGACCGCCUGGGGAGUACGGUCGCAAGAUUAAAACUCAAAGGAAANUUGACGG